UUGUGAUUUUAUCAAAAAUGCAGUAGAAUCUUGUUAAACGUAUGUAAUAUAUGGAUGAAAAUUUCACUGAAAAUGAGAAUCUGCUAGCCACAGAAAGACUUGGAAAUAAAGUUUCAAAGUUAAAAUCAAUAGCGGUUGAUAUUGAGGCUGAAACCAAAGAUCAUGUUAAUCUUUUAAGUGGGAUGACUUUUGAUUUUGAAAACACAAGAGGUUUUAUGCAAAAUACAUCCAGUUACAUUAAAAGAAUAAUAAAUCAAAGAAAAGGUUCUCCUAAAACGAUAUGUUAUAUAGUUUUAUUAUUGAGUGCAUCAUUUUUUAUUCUACAUAUCAUUUUUUCAUUCAAAAAAUAAAUUUUUAUAAAAUAUUAUAUUAUAGAUAUAAUAAUAUAUAUGAAAUCUAAUGUGCCAUAUCAUUUUUUAUAAUUGUAUACUUAAUUAUUAUUAUCUUAUAAACUUUGAGAAUAAAGCAAGUCAUAAAUAUUAAGAAUAUAUUAUAUUUAUGAAGCUACUUCUCUAAAUUAUAUUAGAAUGCCAUGCCAGACUAGAAAGAUCCAGAAAUAUGAAAAUGGAGAUAAAAUUUAUUAUAUUGAAAUACUUUAUAUGGUAAAUAAUAAACAAUUUAAAAAGUUU
Molecule: long non-coding RNA, 629 nt
Organism: Gordionus sp. m RMFG-2023
Lineage: Eukaryota; Metazoa; Nematomorpha; Gordioida; Chordodea; Parachordodidae
Exons: 3
Source: RefSeq, a predicted model, not a curated record